ACAAGAUUCCAUGAAUUUGGAGAAGGGCACAAGAAGGGGAUUUUCAGGAAAUCUCAAAAUCUAAGGUGCUCGUGCAUGGAUUUGCUAUGGGAUCAUUCUAGAUGUUCUUGACAUGUCCUAGCACCAAUUUGAUCCAAGAAAAACACCCCAAAUCUCUACCAAUCGCGAGAUCUAAAAAUUCACCAAAAAAUACUCCAAAAAUAGGGAAAAAGAUAAAUUUCAGAUCUUGAGAAGGAGAAGCAAUUGCGCACAAAAUUAAUUUUUAUAUUACUCCACCAUGUAUGGUUACAAGCCACUGCUAGGCACAAUCCAAGCUAGGAUGGUAAAAAGAUCAACACAAAGAUCCCUCCUCUCUCCCUCUCUCCCUCUACCAAAGCCUCUCACAAAACAAAUGAGAAAACCCCCACCAAAACAACCAAAGGGAUGGCUAUCCCAACCAGCCAUCUCUCAUAUAUAUAGGCAUCCCGAAAAUGUCUAGAAUGCCCUUACAUGAAGCACACAACUCAAAUACCCUCUAGGGGUAAAAUCGUCCAACUUUUUCCUCGUACAUCGGAUGGACCUGGCACCUUCAUUACUUUGCUUCGACU
RNAcentral lists this long non-coding RNA (587 nucleotides) under Setaria viridis. RNAcentral's name for it is "long non-coding RNA (SVIR_LNC010858)". Lineage: Eukaryota; Viridiplantae; Streptophyta; Magnoliopsida; Poales; Poaceae. The record is from RNAcentral.